GAAUAUUGCACAAUGGGCGAAAGCCUGAUGCAGCCAUGCCGCGUGGGUGAAGAAGGCCUUAGGGUUGUAAACCCCUUUCAGCGGGGAAGAUAAUGACUGUACCCGCAGAAGAAGUCCCGGCUAACUCCGUGCCAGCAGCCGCGGUAAUACGGAGGGGACUAGCGUUGUUCGGAAUUACUGGGCGUAAAGCGCGCGUAGGCGGAUUUGCAAGUCGGGGGUGAAAGCCCGAGGCUCAACCUCGGAACUGCCUUCGAUACUGCAAAUCUCGAGUCCGAGAGAGGUGAGUGGAAUUCCUAGUGUAGAGGUGAAAUUCGUAGAUAUUAGGAAGAACACCAGUGGCGAAGGCGGCUCACUGGCUCGGUACUGACGCUGAGGCGCGAAAGCGUGGGGAGCAAACAGG
Molecule: ribosomal RNA, 400 nt
Filed under: uncultured bacterium
Lineage: Bacteria
Description: bacterial SSU rRNA
Rfam family: Bacterial small subunit ribosomal RNA
Source: RNAcentral